UACAGAGGGGGCAAGCGUUGUUCGGAAUUACUGGGCGUAAAGGGCGCGUAGGCGGCCCGCUAAGUCGAACGUGAAAUCCCCGGGCUUAACCCGGGAACUGCGUCCGAUACUGGCAGGCUUGAAUCCGGGAGAGGGAUGUGGGAUUCCAGGUGUAGCGGUGAAAUGCGUAGAUAUCUGGAGGAACACCGGUGGCGAAGGCGGCAUCCUGGACCGGUAUUGACGCUGAGGCGCGAAAGCGUGGGGAGCAAACAGG
RNAcentral lists this ribosomal RNA (253 nucleotides) under uncultured bacterium. RNAcentral's name for it is "partial 16S ribosomal RNA". It matches the Rfam family "Bacterial small subunit ribosomal RNA", at positions 524 to 776 of the family's 1533-position model. The record is from RNAcentral.